GAUGAACGCUGGCGGCGUGCCUAACACAUGCAAGUCGAGCGAUUCUCUUCGGAGAAGAGCGGCGGACGGGUGAGUAACGCGUGGGUAACCUGCCCUGUACACACGGAUAACAUACCGAAAGGUAUGCUAAUACGAGAUAAUAUGCUUUUAUCGCAUGGUAGAAGUAUCAAAGCUCCGGCGGUACAGGAUGGACCCGCGUCUGAUUAGCUAGUUGGUAAGGUAACGGCUUACCAAGGCGACGAUCAGUAGCCGACCUGAGAGGGUGAUCGGCCACAUUGGAACUGAGACACGGUCCAAACUCCUACGGGGGGCAGCAGUGGGGAAUAUUGCACAAGGGGCGAAAGCCUGAUGCAGCAACGCCACGUGAGCGAUGAAGGCCUUCGGGUCGUAAAGCUCUGUCCUCAAGGAAGAUAAUGACGGUACUUGAGGAGGAAGCCCCGGCUAACUACGUGCCAGCCGCCGCGGUAA
RNAcentral lists this ribosomal RNA (468 nucleotides) under uncultured bacterium. Its description in RNAcentral is "partial 16S ribosomal RNA". It matches the Rfam family "Bacterial small subunit ribosomal RNA", at positions 28 to 523 of the family's 1533-position model. The record is from RNAcentral.